This 491-nucleotide long non-coding RNA is filed under the name Phoenix dactylifera (date palm). RNAcentral describes it as "long non-coding RNA (PDAC_LNC022523)". Lineage: Eukaryota; Viridiplantae; Streptophyta; Magnoliopsida; Arecales; Arecaceae. The record is from RNAcentral.
UAAAAUAAACAAUGGAUGAAAACAACAUCAUUCACUAACAGAAACCAUAGAAAAGCUUAGCAAAUAUCAGAGAAGCGAUGUAUGACCCUGUAAUCUAAGAAAUUAGCAUAAGAUCUUCCAACAGGAGGAAAGGAGAGAAUAGAGAUCAAAUCAAAAAAAUCAGGGAACAUGGAAGAAUUGUAAAAAGGGCUUCUCGCCCAAAGAAGCUGAAGGGCGAGGAGCCGCGGAGACCGAGAAAACCCUAACAAGCGUUGGCGCUGGGACUCGGUUUGUCGGAGGGCUCUUGAUCCAAUUUAUAGGCAGUGGGGCCUGUUUCUGGUGUCCCGCGGUGGGCUUUUAAGUAUACCAAGCAUCACCAAGUAUGAAAUUGGGUUUCAUAAUGCAUUCCAUGUUACUCGGUCGGUAUUCUCUUCAUCUCUAAAAUAUGACUCUUUUCAUGAGUUUAAUUAUGGAAAACUAACAUCCCUCAUGGUUCGUGUUCAAAAUAUUUU